GGAAUAUUGGGCAAUGGGGGGAACCCUGACCCAGCAACGCCGCGUGAAGGAAGAAGGCUUUCGGGUUGUAAACUUCUGUCCUGUGAGACGAAGGACGUGACGGUAUCCCAGGAGGAAGCCCCGGCUAACUACGUGCCAGCAGCCGCGGUAAUACGUAGGGGGCGAGCGUUGUCCGGAAUGAUUGGGCGUAAAGGGCGCGUAGGCGGCUAUAUAAGUCUGGAGUGAAAGUCCCGCUUUCAAGGUGGGAAUUGCUUUGGAUACUGUGUAGCUCGAGUGCAGGAGAGGUAAGCGGAAUUCCCGGUGUAGCGGUGAAAUGCGUAGAGAUCGGGAGGAACACCAGUGGCGAAGGCGGCUUACUGGACUGUAACUGACGCUGAGGCGCGAAAGCGUGGGGAGCAAACAGG
Molecule: ribosomal RNA, 404 nt
Filed under: uncultured bacterium
Lineage: Bacteria
Description: bacterial SSU rRNA
Rfam family: Bacterial small subunit ribosomal RNA
Source: RNAcentral